AUCCCCGGGCUCAACCUGGGAACUGCAUUCGAAACUGGCAGGCUAGAGUCUUGUAGAGGGGGGUAGAAUUCCAGGUGUAGCGGUGAAAUGCGUAGAGAUCUGGAGGAAUACCGGUGGCGAAGGCGGCCCCCUGGACAAAGACUGACGCUCAGGUGCGAAAGCGUGGGGAGCAAACAGGAUUAGAUACCCUGGUAGUCCACGCCGUAAACGAUGUCGAUUUGGAGGUUGUGCCCUUGAGGCGUGGCUUCCGGAGCUAACGCGUUAAAUCGACCGCCUGGGGAGUACGGCCGCAAGGUUAAAACUCAAAUGAAUUGACGGGGGCCCGCACAAGCGGUGGAGCAUGUGGUUUAAUUCGAUGCAACGCGAAGAACCUUACCUGGUCUUGACAUCCACAGAACUUUCCAGAGAUGGAUUGGUGCCUUCGGGAACUGUGAGACAGGUGCUGCA
This 447-nucleotide ribosomal RNA is filed under the name Pseudomonas aeruginosa. Its description in RNAcentral is "bacterial SSU rRNA". It matches the Rfam family "Bacterial small subunit ribosomal RNA", at positions 599 to 1045 of the family's 1533-position model. The record is from RNAcentral. Lineage: Bacteria; Pseudomonadati; Pseudomonadota; Gammaproteobacteria; Pseudomonadales; Pseudomonadaceae.